CAGAUAGUAGUUUAAUUGAAAAUAUUAGCAUUGGAAGCUAGCGAUCAAGGUUUCUUGCUGUCUGA
Molecule: transfer RNA, 65 nt
Filed under: Acanthochitona avicula
Lineage: Eukaryota; Metazoa; Mollusca; Polyplacophora; Chitonida; Acanthochitonidae
Description: tRNA-Pro
Rfam family: tRNA
About the family: Transfer RNA (tRNA) molecules are approximately 80 nucleotides in length. Their secondary structure includes four short double-helical elements and three loops (D, anti-codon, and T loops). Further hydrogen bonds mediate the characteristic L-shaped molecular structure. tRNAs have two regions of fundamental functional importance: the anti-codon, which is responsible for specific mRNA codon recognition, and the 3' end, to which the tRNAs corresponding amino acid is attached (by aminoacyl-tRNA synthetases). tRNAs cope with the degeneracy of the genetic code in two manners: having more than one tRNA (with a specific anti-codon) for a particular amino acid; and 'wobble' base-pairing, i.e. permitting non-standard base-pairing at the 3rd anti-codon position.
Source: RNAcentral